UUGAAGACGACGACGUUGAUAGGCCGGAUGUGUAAGCGCAGCGAUGCGUUGAGCUAACCGGUACUAAUGAACCGUGAGGCUUAACCUUACAACGCCGAAGGUGUUU
RNAcentral lists this ribosomal RNA (106 nucleotides) under Escherichia coli. RNAcentral's name for it is "partial 23S ribosomal RNA". The stretch from base 1 to 88 matches the Rfam family "Bacterial large subunit ribosomal RNA", at positions 2838 to 2925 of the family's 2925-position model. The record is from RNAcentral. Lineage: Bacteria; Pseudomonadati; Pseudomonadota; Gammaproteobacteria; Enterobacterales; Enterobacteriaceae.